GGCACUGGAAGGGUUUUCAAAGUGAGUCUAAAGUAAUUAGGAGCUCCUGCUGAUGGAUUGCACUGGAGAGACAUGUGGAUUAUUUAUUACAAAGUCACUUGCUGGAAAGGUUAGAGGCUGAGAAGUAAUUAUUUUUUCCUUUUCUUCUUCUUCUUCUCUCUCUCUUUUUUUUUUUUUUAAUGGAGGAAUCAUCAGGGGAGAGCAGCCAGAGUUCCUCCAUGAAAUAUUCCCUCCUGCCUAAGUCCACUUCUCCCAAAAUGGCAAAUAGGACAGGGCCCCCAGGGAGGACAUGAGGAGCUCCGGAGCUCCCGGAACUGGAAUUUUGCUUUGUGUUGAAGUCUCUGCCCACACCCACCCUGGUUAAGGGAUGUGGAGGGGAUCCCUGCUUUUCAACCCAAACAUUUGGAAUCUCUGGAAGCUUCCCAUCUACCAGCCAAGCUCACAAAGCCUGUGCCACGUCUGGCACAUGUCUGGUAGAUGCUGAGCAGUAUUUGGAAGGCUCAGUGCUUCCAGCAACCUCAGCUCCCUGGUGCUCUCCUGCCAGGAGGAGGCUGAAGCAAGAGGACGAGCAGAGAAAGGAAGCAUCCCCACCCCAUCCCUCUGCUGCGGGGCAUUGCCCACAUCCAUCAGCCCAUCACCCCCUCCCCAUCACUUCCACCUCUGCCCACAUCACUGGGAUGGAGCUGCACCCUGAGGUCCCCCNNNNNNNNNNNNNNNNNNNNCGGUGCCAUCCCAGUCCUGCAGAGCCGCAGUGCAGCCGUUGGCGGGGCUUUGUCAGGAACCAAACACAGUAACUGUUUAACGAUUUAACUGCACUAAUGAAUAUUGGGCCAGAUAUUUUCAAGGCCUGUUCAGACUGAUUACUUGGAGAGCUGAGUAUG
This 881-nucleotide long non-coding RNA is filed under the name Phasianus colchicus (ring-necked pheasant). RNAcentral describes it as "lncRNA (ENSPCLG00000019471.1)". Lineage: Eukaryota; Metazoa; Chordata; Aves; Galliformes; Phasianidae. The record is from RNAcentral.